Molecule: ribosomal RNA, 253 nt
Filed under: uncultured bacterium
Lineage: Bacteria
Description: partial 16S ribosomal RNA
Rfam family: Bacterial small subunit ribosomal RNA
Source: RNAcentral
UACGGGGGGGGCAAGCGUUGUUCGGAAUUACUGGGCGUAAAGGGCUCGUAGGUGGCCAACUAAGUCAGACGUGAAAUCCCCAGGCUUAACCUGGGAACUGCGUCUGAUACUGGAUGGCUUGAAUUCGGGAGAGGGAUGCAGAAUUCCAGGUGUAGCGGUGAAAUGCGUAGAUAUCUGGAGGAAUACCGGUGGCGAAGGCGGCAUCCUGGACCGACAUUGACGCUGAGGAGCGAAAGCUAGGGGAGCAAACGGG